GAUGAAGAACGUAGCGAAAUGCGAUAAGUAAUGUGAAUUGCAGAAUUCAGUGAAUCAUCGAAUCUUUGAACGCACAUUGCGCCCGCCAGUAUUCUGGCGGGCAUGCCUGUCCGAGCGUCAUUUCAACCAUCAAGCCCCCGGGCUUGUGUUGGGGACCUGCGGCUGCCCGCAGGCCCUGAAAACCAGUGGGGGGCUCGCUGUCACACCGAGCGUAGUAGCAAUCACCUCGCUCAGGGCGUGCUGCGGGUUCCGGCCGUUAAACAGCCUUACAAAACCCAAGGUUGACCUCGGAUCAGGUAGGAAGACCCGCUGAACUUAAGCAUAUCAAUAAGCGGAGGA
Molecule: unclassified non-coding RNA, 339 nt
Filed under: soil metagenome
Description: partial contains 5.8S ribosomal RNA, internal transcribed spacer 2, and large subunit ribosomal RNA
Rfam family: 5.8S ribosomal RNA (bases 1-120)
Source: RNAcentral